GCUGGGUGCAGUGUGCCCGCCUGUAAUCCAGCCACUCAGGAGGCUGAGGCAGGAGGAUGGCGAGGUCAAAGCCAGCCUCAG
Molecule: small RNA, 81 nt
Filed under: Marmota monax (woodchuck)
Lineage: Eukaryota; Metazoa; Chordata; Mammalia; Rodentia; Sciuridae
Source: RNAcentral